UGAGCUACGAGGAGGCGCACGCCCCGCACUACAUCGCACACCGAAAGGGCUGGCUGUCGCAGCACACAGGUGAGGGCGCCUGGGAAGGACCGCCACCCGAUGUGACUGAAAGGUGGCAUGGUGACUCUCCAACAUGCUCUUUAAGACAAAGAUCUGAACUUUUGGGUAGGAUGGCGAACGCGCUGGGGAGGAUGACCUCGAGUUUAAAGACAGUUAAGAUUAGUGAGAGAGACCCUGUCACAUUUAGUUAUGGGACUGGAAACAAUCAGUUUCCAGUUAGAUUGCUAAAAUGUGCCGCUCAGGCAUGAGGAUGCACCCCAGCUCUUAAAUGAAAACCUAGAUCGAGGGGUGUGAGAAUGAAGGAGACAUUCUCAUGGGGUCACUGGCCAGCCAGUCUUGGAAGAGCAGCUGUUUUGCAGAACAAUAAAAAAAAAAAAAA
RNAcentral lists this long non-coding RNA (439 nucleotides) under Rattus norvegicus (Norway rat). RNAcentral's name for it is "long non-coding RNA NONRATT010117". Lineage: Eukaryota; Metazoa; Chordata; Mammalia; Rodentia; Muridae. The record is from RNAcentral.